CCCGAAAAGUUCUCUAUAAUUUCUAGAUCUGAAACCUCGAAUUCAAAAUUAACAAAAAAUAUAAAACAGCAGAAAAAUUAAAAAAAUACUAUUUCAUUAAGCUCUUUAGAUCAGUUUUCAACUUUUAGUAACUGUUCGAUUUUCUAGCUUAAUUUGAGAAGAGGAUAGUUGUAGAAUUCUGAUGUUCAAUCAUUGAAGUGAUUGAGUCUGCUUUGUUUUCUAUUUCCACUUUGCUUUUGGUUAAAUCAAGCUGAAUUUGAGGUUCUUAUGGUUUGUUGCUGGUUGUGGAAUCAUUAUUCUGGGGUAUUUUGCAUCAUUUUUCUAGUUUGAACUGGUGUAAUCGAUAUUGAAUCUGGGUUUAGAAGAUUCUUUGUGUUCCUCUUUGCUCGAGUUCCCUGUUGUUGUUGACUGCUUCCUCACCUUUUCUCCUUUACUGAUUUAGGAACAUAUUUUCAAGAUCUGCUUGAUGUGGUGUUGAAGUUGGAAACAAAUGAAAUAAAAAUGAAAGUUGAAGUCAUGUGAUCAUAGUAUAGCUUCAUUUCAUUCCUUUGAUUCAAAUUAGUUAUCUCAUGCUUCUGAUUAGUUAAUUCUCCUCGUGCGAACUCACA
This 608-nucleotide long non-coding RNA is filed under the name Nicotiana benthamiana. Its description in RNAcentral is "long non-coding RNA (NBEN_LNC005199)". Lineage: Eukaryota; Viridiplantae; Streptophyta; Magnoliopsida; Solanales; Solanaceae. The record is from RNAcentral.